RNAcentral lists this long non-coding RNA (2083 nucleotides) under Brassica napus (rape). RNAcentral describes it as "long non-coding RNA (BNAP_LNC013301)". The record is from RNAcentral. Lineage: Eukaryota; Viridiplantae; Streptophyta; Magnoliopsida; Brassicales; Brassicaceae.
GUAGGAAGACAAAAACUCUCUCCUCAUCUUGGGCCACGGAAGUUCAAUCAAGAUCUCCUUAAAUUGGAUCGAAUUCAAAACGUUGGAAUGAAAUGGGGGGCUUAAGCUGAGCUUCCAUGGAAGCUUCUAGGUAGACCGCAGGGUUCUUACCAUAUAGCUUAAAAGUACAAUUUUCUCUUCCUGCUCUUAAUUAACCAGUGGUUAUAAUGAAUUUUCUAACCGGCGCGGUUAAAGCAGUGGGGUUAAACCGGCAAGUCAUGGAACGGCUGAUAGGCUCGAUCCUCUUCGAACCUACCAAGGUGUUAUAUCGGCUCCUUCUCUACUAUUUAGAUUUUUUUGUUCUCUUUUAUUUUCCAUUAAAUUCUUGUUCUUUCGUUAAUUCUGCUGUGAUUAUUUCUGCAAUUAAAAGGUGCAACUAUGUUCGAAUUUGUUUCAACAGUGUUUAUAUCCCUCGUUAAUUCAUGAAUGUGAAACUUGUUCCAGUGAAUGCCAUAUAAAGGAACUUUUUUUUCUUCUAAACUGAUUAAAGUAUUACAUAGUGUCAAUAAGAAUGCGGUAAUUGGUAACAGAUAAGUUGCUUAGUAUUGAUGUACAACACCUCAGAUUCUUUUUAUGUAGUUGUUAAAUACUAACGAAUAAAAUUGUGCAUUUGUUUCUUUGUCAAGUGACUUGUAUUGGUGUUUCUGUUAUGCAUAAUUUGAUUUUUUUAACAACUUGCAGCUGCAAAAAAAAAUUAAGAGUUUUUUAAUUAAAAAAAGGUUAAGUAAUUCUACCAGCGAAUCGUAUCUCUAAGUUAUUUCAAAAACGAUGACUGUUAACUCUCUUCAAAAUUGAUUUCAAAACAACAACAGAUUUCAAAAUGAUUUGAAAUCUUUAGAAUAUCUUGAAAAUUAUCGUGAAAAGAGUGUCCACGCUAUUUUGUUUUUAGGGUAAUUCUCUCAGAUAACCCUAAAAUAGGUUUUUCUUCAAAUAGCCCACAAACCGGAAAAUAACCACAAUAGAUUUAUGAGAUAAAAAAACUCUUAUAUUCUUACUUUAUAUAUAUAUAUUUACAUAUACAUAAUUAUUUAAAUAAAUAAUGUAUAUAUAUAAUUUAUUAUUUUUGAAUAAUACAUUUUUAAAUUUAAACUUUUUAUAAUAUUAAUUUUUAAAAGUUUUUAAAAAAAAAUUAUUUUGAAAUCCGAAAAUCAUUAUUGAAACUAUUAAAAAAAUAUCUAAAAUUUUUAGUAUUUAUUUUAAAAUCUUAAAAUGCACUCCCAAAAAUCUCAUCCUCAAAUCUUGAUUGGUUAAUCCUAGGAAUAAAAUGUCUAUUUACUCUUCAAUAAAACUUCUUUAGUUCAUUUUGACUCUUGAAUGUUAUAUUUGUGAUAAAAAAAAUUUAAAGGUCAUCCUAUGGAUUUAUCUGGUUUUUAAAUGGAUAUAGUAUUAAAAUAAAACUAAUUCUAUUCAAUUUUGAUAAUUGGAUUUUUUUUUGCAAAACCAAGUUUAAAAUACAGAAUAUGUUUUUUUAUUAGAAGAAUUGUUAUCAUGAACGUAAAUUUCCUACAAAGCAAAAAGAGACAUGUUGUAAAUGUUUUUAAAGGUUUCCAAUGUUCAAGUCAUCAAAUAAACGAAGAAAUCGAGAUAUUAAUGGGAAAGGAAGGUCUGACGCCAAAUUCAAUGGAUCAAGAAAGUUACAGUGAAUUUAGGGAUAACAUUUUACGUUAAAGAGUUGACCCAAGACUUUUUGUCGGAAAGUAUGGAUGAAACCAGGUCUUGAAGUUGUGUUACAAAAAAAAAAAAAAAAACCAGGUCUUGAAGUUAAGGACAUGCACAAUGUUCCAAGAGUGUGUUUAGGGAGAGAUCUAAGCUCAAGAAAAUAUAUUGCAUAAGUUAUGUGAAAAACGUGAUUCAUCUCGUUAGUGGAGGGAUUAAUAUUUAUAGAGGUUACCAAACACAUAAAAUCGAAAAUUAUCUUGUAAGGAUGAAUAUAUAUAAGUUUCAAAACCAAAAUAGCUUUAAGUCCCAAGACAAGAAAGACAUCAAUGCGGGAAACAAAACACAAAUGAAACUACUGUACUCAACGGUGAAUGGUCGAGGAAAG